AGAGUUUGAUCCUGGUUCAGAUUGAACGCUGGCGGCAUGCCUAACACAUGCAAGUCGAACGAGAAAGAGGGGCAGCUCUCGAGUAAAGUGGCGGACGGGUGAGUAAUACGUAGGAAUCUACCUUAUAGUGGGGGAUAACCUGCCGAAAGGCGGGCUAAUACCGCAUAACCUCUACGGAGAAAAGGUGGCUAGCAAUAGCCUUCGCUUUAAGAUGAGCCUACGUCGGAUUAGCUAGUUGGUAGGGUAAUGGCCUACCAAGGCAACAAUCCGUAGCUGGUCUGAGAGGACGAUCAGCCACACUGGAACUGAGACACGGUCCAGACUCCUACGGGAGGCAGCAGUGGGGAAUAUUGGACAAUGGGGGAAACCCUGAUCCAGCAAUGCCGCGUGUGCGAUGAAGGCCUGCGGGUUGUAAAGCACUUUCGGUGAGGAAGAAAAGCUCAAAUAUAAUACAUUUGAGAAUUGACGUUACUCACAGAAGAAGCACCGGCAAACUCUGUGCCAGCAGCCGCGGUAAUAC
RNAcentral lists this ribosomal RNA (520 nucleotides) under uncultured Gammaproteobacteria bacterium. RNAcentral's name for it is "bacterial SSU rRNA". It matches the Rfam family "Bacterial small subunit ribosomal RNA", at positions 8 to 526 of the family's 1533-position model. The record is from RNAcentral. Lineage: Bacteria; Pseudomonadati; Pseudomonadota; Gammaproteobacteria.